Molecule: RNA transcript, 871 nt
Organism: Cebus imitator (Panamanian white-faced capuchin)
Lineage: Eukaryota; Metazoa; Chordata; Mammalia; Primates; Cebidae
Gene name: ferritin light chain-like
Exons: 1
Source: RefSeq, a predicted model, not a curated record
AAAAUCAGGCAGUUAGGCCGUCCCGCGGUUCUGACUCUUGCUUCAACACUGUUUGGACGGAACAGAUCCUGGGGACUUUUUCUUCCAGCCUCUGACCGCCCUCCAGUUUCCUCUCCACUUGCAACCUCCAGGACCAUCUUCUCGGCCAUCUCCUGCUUCUGGGAACCUGCUGACACAGUUUUUGUGCUUAGCUCCUUUUUGCCGACCAACCAUGAGCGCCCACGUUCAUCAGAAUUCUUCCACCGACGUGGAGGCAGCAGUGAACCGCCUGGUCUAUGUGUACCUGCAGGCCUCCCACGCCUACCUCUCUCUGGCCUACUGUUUCGACCGUGAUGAUGUGGCUCUGGAAGGCGUGAGCCACUUAUUCCGCAAACUGGCCGAGGAGAAGCGCGAGGCCUGAAGAUGCAAAACCAGCGGGGCGGCCAAGCCCUCUUUCAGGGCAUCAGGAAGCCGGCUCAAGAUGAGUGGGGUAAAACCCUGAACGCCAUGGAAGCCGCCAUGGCCCUGGAGAAAAAUCUGAACCAGGCUCUUUUGGAUCUUCAUGCCCUGGGUUCUGCCCGCACGGACCCCCAUCUCUGUGACUUCCUGGAGAGUUCCUAGAUGAGGAAGUGAAAAUCAUCAAGAAGAUGGAUGACCACCUGACCAACCUCCGCAGGCUGGCCGGCCCGCAGGCUGGGCUGGGCGAGUAUCUCUUUGAAAGGCUCACUUUCAAGCACGACCAGGAGCCUACUGAGCCCAGCGACUUCUGAAGCGCCCUUGCAAAAUAACAGGGCUUCUGCUAAGCCUCUCCCUCCAGCCACUAGGCAGCUUUCUAACUACCCUAACAAAUCUUGGACCAAAUGGAAAUAAAGCUAUUUGAAGAAAAAAAAAA